RNAcentral lists this transfer RNA (91 nucleotides) under Candidatus Saccharimonadota bacterium. RNAcentral describes it as "tRNA-Ser". It matches the Rfam family "tRNA". From Rfam's summary of the family: Transfer RNA (tRNA) molecules are approximately 80 nucleotides in length. Their secondary structure includes four short double-helical elements and three loops (D, anti-codon, and T loops). Further hydrogen bonds mediate the characteristic L-shaped molecular structure. tRNAs have two regions of fundamental functional importance: the anti-codon, which is responsible for specific mRNA codon recognition, and the 3' end, to which the tRNAs corresponding amino acid is attached (by aminoacyl-tRNA synthetases). tRNAs cope with the degeneracy of the genetic code in two manners: having more than one tRNA (with a specific anti-codon) for a particular amino acid; and 'wobble' base-pairing, i.e. permitting non-standard base-pairing at the 3rd anti-codon position. The record is from RNAcentral. Lineage: Bacteria; Candidatus Saccharimonadota.
GGAGGAGUGGCCGAGUGGUUGAAGGCGCUGCUCUCGAAAAGCAGUAUAUCGUCAUGCGGUAUCGCGAGUUCGAAUCUCGCCUCCUCCGCCA